UACGAAGGGGGCUAGCGUUGCUCGGAAUCACUGGGCGUAAAGGGCGCGUAGGCGGCUUGCCAAGUCGGGGGUGAAAGCCCGUGGCUCAACCACGGAAUGGCACUUCGAUACUGGCAGGCUCGCAGACCCGGAAGGGGACAGCGGAACUGCGAGUGUAGAGGUGAAAUUCGUAGAUAUUCGCAAGAACACCAGUGGCGAAGGCUGCAUGUCUGGUCCGGUUCUGACGUCGAGCGCGAAAG
RNAcentral lists this ribosomal RNA (239 nucleotides) under uncultured Hyphomicrobiales bacterium. RNAcentral describes it as "uncultured Rhizobiales bacterium partial 16S ribosomal RNA". It matches the Rfam family "Bacterial small subunit ribosomal RNA", at positions 524 to 759 of the family's 1533-position model. Lineage: Bacteria; Pseudomonadati; Pseudomonadota; Alphaproteobacteria; Hyphomicrobiales. The record is from RNAcentral.